This 465-nucleotide ribosomal RNA is filed under the name uncultured bacterium. Its description in RNAcentral is "partial 16S ribosomal RNA". It matches the Rfam family "Bacterial small subunit ribosomal RNA", at positions 28 to 507 of the family's 1533-position model. The record is from RNAcentral.
GACGAACGCUGGCGGCGUGCUUAACACAUGCAAGUCGAACGGUGAACUCCGCUUGCGGGGGGAUCAGUGGCGAACGGGUGAGUAACACGUGGGCAACCUGCCCUCAGCUCUGGGAUAACUCCAAGAAAUUGGGGCUAAUACCGGAUAUGACCGCUGACCGCAUGGUCUGGUGGUGGAAAGAUUUAUCGGCUGGGGAUGGGCCCGCGGCCUAUCAGCUUGUUGGUGGGGUAGUGGCCUACCAAGGCGACGACGGGUAGCCGGCCUAAGAGGGUGACCGGCCACACUGGGACUGAGACACGGCCCAGACUCCUACGGGAGGCAGCAGUGGGGAAUAUUGCGCAAUGGGCGAAAGCCUGACGCAGCGACGCCGCGUGGGGGAUGACGGCCUUCGGGUUGUAAACCUCUUUCAGCAGGGACGAAGCGAAAGUGACGGUACCUGCAGAAGAAGCACCGGCCAACUACGUG